AUUGAACGCUGGCGGCAGGCCUAACACAUGCAAGUCGAACGAGUGGCGGACGUGUGUGUAAUGUCUGGAAAACUGCUUGCUGGAGGGGUAUCACUACUGGAAACGGUAGCUAAUAGCGCAUACCUGGAGAUGCGCCCAGAUGGGUUGAGCGAGUUGGUGGGGUAAAGGCGCACCAAGGCGACGAUCCCUAGCUGGUCUGAGAGGAUGACCAGCCAAACUGGAACUGAGACACGGUCCAGACUCCUACGGGAGGCAGCAGUGGGGAAUAUUGGACAAUGGGCGCAAGCCUGAUGCAGCCAUGCCGCGUGUAUGAAGAAGGCCUUCGGGUUGUAAAGUACUUUCAGCGGGGAGGCGUUACCCGCAGAAGAAGCACCGGCUAACUACGUGCCAGCAGCCGCGGUAAUAC
Molecule: ribosomal RNA, 406 nt
Filed under: uncultured bacterium
Lineage: Bacteria
Description: partial 16S ribosomal RNA
Rfam family: Bacterial small subunit ribosomal RNA
Source: RNAcentral